UACAGAGGGUGCAAACGUUGCUCGGAAUCAUUGGGCGUAAAGCGCACGUAGGCGGUCUGAUAAGUCGGAUGUGAAAGCCCUGGGCUCAACCCAGGAAGUGCAUUCGAAACUGCCAGACUUGAAUAUGGAGGAGGGUCGCGGAAUUCCCGGUGUAGAGGUGAAAUUCGUAGAUAUCGGGAGGAACACCAGUGGCGAAGGCGGCGACCUGGGCCAAUAUUGACGCUGAGGUGCGAAAGCGUGGGGAGCAAACAGG
Molecule: ribosomal RNA, 253 nt
Filed under: uncultured bacterium
Lineage: Bacteria
Description: partial 16S ribosomal RNA
Rfam family: Bacterial small subunit ribosomal RNA
Source: RNAcentral